UCUGGCGUCUUUGGCGUCCGAGUUGUAAUUUGAAGAAGGUAUCUUUGGGCCCGGCUCUUGUCUAUGUUCCUUGGAACAGGACGUCACAGAGGGUGAGAAUCCCGUGCGAUGAGAUGACCCGGGUCUGUGUAAAGUUCCUUCGACGAGUCGAGUUGUUUGGGAAUGCAGCUCUAAGUGGGUGGUAAAUUCCAUCUAAAGCUAAAUAUUGGCGAGAGACCGAUAGCGAACAAGUACAGUGAUGGAAAGAUGAAAAGAACUUUGAAAAGAGAGUGAAAAAGUACGUGAAAUUGUUGAAAGGGAAGGGCUUGAGAUCAGACUUGGUAUUUUGCAUGCUGCUCUCUCGGGGGCGGCCGCUGCGGUUUACCGGGCCAGCAUCGGUUUGGAGCGGCAGGAUAAUGGCGGAGGAAUGUGGCACGGCUUCUGCUGUGUGUUAUAGCCUCUGACGAUACUGCCAGCCUAGACCGAGGACUGCGGUUUUUACCUAGGAUGUUGGCAUAAUGAUCUUAAGUCGCCCGUCUUGAAACACGGA
Molecule: ribosomal RNA, 529 nt
Filed under: Candida albicans
Lineage: Eukaryota; Fungi; Ascomycota; Pichiomycetes; Serinales; Debaryomycetaceae
Description: LSU rRNA
Rfam family: Eukaryotic large subunit ribosomal RNA
Source: RNAcentral